GACGAACGCUGGCGGCGUGCCUAAUACAUGCAAGUCGAACGCUGAAGGAGGAGCUUGCUUCUCUGGAUGAGUUGCGAACGGGUGAGUAACGCGUAGGUAACCUGCCUGGUAGCGGGGGAUAACUAUUGGAAACGAUAGCUAAUACCGCAUAAUAGUAGAUGUUGCAUGACAUUUGCUUAAAAGGUGCAAUUGCAUCACUACCAGAUGGACCUGCGUUGUAUUAGCUAGUUGGUGGGGUAACGGCUCACCAAGGCGACGAUACAUAGCCGACCUGAGAGGGGGAUCGGCCACACUGGGACUGAGACACGGCCCAGACUCCUACGGGAGGCAGCAGUAGGGAAUCUUCGGAAAUGGACGGAAGUCUGACCGAGCAACGCCGCGUGAGUGAAGAAGGGUUUCGGAUCGUAAAGCUCUGUUGUAAGAGAAGAACGAGUGUGAGAGUGGAAAGUUCACACUGUGACGGUAUCUUACCAGAAAGGGACGGCUAACUACGUG
Molecule: ribosomal RNA, 495 nt
Filed under: uncultured bacterium
Lineage: Bacteria
Description: partial 16S ribosomal RNA
Rfam family: Bacterial small subunit ribosomal RNA
Source: RNAcentral